This 253-nucleotide ribosomal RNA is filed under the name uncultured bacterium. RNAcentral's name for it is "partial 16S ribosomal RNA". It matches the Rfam family "Bacterial small subunit ribosomal RNA", at positions 524 to 776 of the family's 1533-position model. The record is from RNAcentral.
UACGUAGGUGGCAAGCGUUGUCCGGAUUUACUGGGCGUAAAGGGCGUGCAGGCGGCUUGUUAAGUCUAGGGUGAAAGCUCCCGGCUCAACUGGGAGAGGUCCUUGGAUACUGGCGAGCUUGAGGGAUGCAGAGGAAAGUGGAAUUCCCGGUGUAGUGGUGAUAUGCGUAGAUAUCGGGAGGAACACCAGUGGCGAAGGCGGCAUCCUGGACCAAUAUUGACGCUGAGGAGCGAAAGCCAGGGGAGCAAACGGG